GACGAACGCUGGCGGCGUGCCUAAUACAUGCAAGUCGAACGGACCGCGACUGAGUGCUUGCACUUGGUCAAGGUGAGUGGCGAACGGGUGAGUAACACGUGGGUAACCUACCUCAUAGUGGGGGAUAACAGUCGGAAACGACUGCUAAUACCGCAUAGGACAUGGAAUCACAUGAUUCUGUGAGGAAAGGUGGCGCAAGCUAUCGCUAAGAGAUGGACCCGCGGUGCAUUAGCUAGUUGGUAGGGUAAGGGCCUACCAAGGCGAUGAUGCAUAGCCGACCUGAGAGGGUGAUCGGCCACAUUGGGACUGAGACACGGCCCAAACUCCUACGGGAGGCAGCAGUAGGGAAUCUUCCGCAAUGGACGCAAGUCUGACGGAGCAACGCCGCGUGAGUGAAGAAGGUCUUCGGAUCGUAAAGCUCUGUUGUUAGAGAAGAACAGCGCAUAGAGUAACUGUUAUGCGUGUGACGGUAUCUAACCAGAAAGCCACGGCUAACUACGUG
Molecule: ribosomal RNA, 502 nt
Filed under: uncultured bacterium
Lineage: Bacteria
Description: partial 16S ribosomal RNA
Rfam family: Bacterial small subunit ribosomal RNA
Source: RNAcentral